GCUGGGUAGUGAGAGUAUGUGUGAUUAUUGUCAGGGCUAUGGGAUGUGUGUUGUGUAGUAUAUUCAUUAGAUUGCUAGCUGUUCAAGCAUGGGUUUACAUUAUGAUAUAGUUUGAGGUGUUGGUUUACGUUUUGUUUAAAGGUUGUGGUUUGGGUUGGUUCUUCUCACUAAAAAGGGUGGUUUUGUGUUGGUCUGAGGUAGGGGGAGGGGUUUGUUUGGGGUUUGUUGGGGUCGUUAGGUGGGGUUUUGGUUUGGGGCUGGGGUAUAUUGGGGGAAUUCCUGGGCGUUUUUCAACCCAAAAAAACCACCGCUUUGGGUUACCAUAAGCCCAGGGCCACAGGUUCCCCUCCUUUCUUUCCCCCCCGGUUGGGGUUUGGUUUGGGGUAAGGGCCCCCCCACCGCGUGGGUGUGGGGGGGGGACAAAGGUUUGGGAAAUCCCCCCCCCCCCUCGUCCUGAACAGCACGCCUCGCUGUGGCUGGUCAAACGGAACCAAGUCAGGUGUUUCAGAGAGGUUUGGUCCCCUUCAACCAGCUACUGCGUCGUGAACUCAGUCAGCAGACAGACAUCCACAGCGGGAAUGAAAGACAGAGUGUACACUGCUCGUACUGUACUACUGUAGCCUACUGAUGUU
This 632-nucleotide microRNA precursor is filed under the name Salvelinus alpinus (Arctic char). RNAcentral's name for it is "miR-133a_133b". The stretch from base 468 to 541 matches the Rfam family "mir-133 microRNA precursor family". The record is from RNAcentral. Lineage: Eukaryota; Metazoa; Chordata; Actinopteri; Salmoniformes; Salmonidae.